UGGGGGAUAUUGCACAAUGGGCGAAAGCCUGAUGCAGCGACGCCGCGUGGGGGAUGAAGGCCUUCGGGUUGUAAACUUCUUUUGCUCUGAACAAGGCAUGCUAAUGGGUGUGUUGAGUGUAGGGGUUGAUUAGCGCCGGCUAACUACGUGCCAGCAGCCGCGGUAAUACGUAGGGCGCGAGCGUUGUCCGGAAUUAUUGGGCGUAAAGGGCUUGUAGGUGGCUGGUUGCGUCUGUCGUGAAAGCUCAUGGCUUAUCUGUGGGUUUGCGGUGGGUACGGGCUGGCUUGAGUGCAGUAGGGGAGGCUGGAAUUCCUGGUGUAGCGGUGGAAUGCGCAGAUAUCAGGAGGAAUACCGGUGGCGAAGGCGGGUCUCUGGGCUGUUACUGACACUGAGGAGCGAAAGCAUGGGGAGCGAACAGG
Molecule: ribosomal RNA, 419 nt
Filed under: bacterium
Lineage: Bacteria
Description: partial 16S ribosomal RNA
Rfam family: Bacterial small subunit ribosomal RNA
Source: RNAcentral